GUCAUGUUAUCGAUAUGUGAAUACAUAGCAUAUCAGAAGGCACACCCGGAGAACUGAAACAUCUUAGUACCCGGAGGAAGAGAAAGAAAAUUCGAUUCCCUUAGUAGCGGCGAGCGAAACGGGAAGAGCCCAAACCAACAAGCUUGCUUGUUGGGGUUGUAGGACACUCUAUACGGAGUUACAAAGGACGACAUUAGACGAAUCAUCUGGAAAGAUGAAUCAAAGAAGGUAAUAAUCCUGUAGUCGAAAAUGUUGUCUCUCUUGAGUGGAUCCUGAGUACGACGGAGCACGUGAAAUUCCGUCGGAAUCUGGGAGGACCAUCUCCUAAGGCUAAAUACUCUCUAGUGACCGAUAGUGAACCAGUACCGUGAGGGAAAGGUGAAAAGCACCCCGGAAGGGGAGUGAAAUAGAACCUGAAACCGUGUGCUUACAAGUAGUCAGAGCCCGUUAAUGGGUGAUGGCGUGCCUUUUGUAGAAUGAACCGGCGAGUUACGAUUUGAUGCAAGGUUAAGCAGUAAAUGUGGAGCCGUAGCGAAAGCGAGUCUGAAUAGGGCGUUUAGUAUUUGGUCGUAGACCCGAAACCAGGUGAUCUACCCUUGGUCAGGUUGAAGUUCAGGUAACACUGAAUGGAGGACCGAACCGACUUACGUUGAAAAGUGAGCGGAUGAACUGAGGGUAGCGGAGAAAUUCCAAUCGAAC
RNAcentral lists this ribosomal RNA (699 nucleotides) under Staphylococcus aureus. RNAcentral describes it as "partial 23S ribosomal RNA". It matches the Rfam family "Bacterial large subunit ribosomal RNA", at positions 142 to 838 of the family's 2925-position model. The record is from RNAcentral. Lineage: Bacteria; Bacillati; Bacillota; Bacilli; Caryophanales; Staphylococcaceae.